UUUUUUUGCAGAAGUCUGGAGGCAAGAAUAAAGCUUGUUUCACAAAUCCACAAAACCAGCUUUAUCAAGUAUUUUGCUGGUGGUUUCUGCGAAUUGAUACUGCAGCUUUUGAAAUAUGGAGAGAACAAUACAGUUGACCAAAUAAUGUCAGCCGCUGCAUCGACAGAUCUCCACUGCAAUCCACUGAAUUGUAUUUUGGCUUUGCCAAUUACCUGGGUAGUUAUAGAAUAUGUAUUACAAUAUAGAAUGCGGCUGUGUCUGUAGCCUAUCUUCCUGGUGGGGAAAAAGGCA
This 291-nucleotide long non-coding RNA is filed under the name Crocodylus porosus (Australian saltwater crocodile). Its description in RNAcentral is "lncRNA (ENSCPRG00005015141.1)". The record is from RNAcentral. Lineage: Eukaryota; Metazoa; Chordata; Crocodylia; Crocodylidae.